CCUACGGGAGGCAGCAGUGAGGAAUAUUGGUCAAUGGGCUUACGCCUGAACCAGCCAAGUCGCGUGAGGGAAGACUGCCCUAUGGGUUGUAAACCUCUUUUGUCAGGGAGCAACGCCGGCUACGUGUAGCCGGACUGAGAGUACCUGAAGAAAAAGCAUCGGCUAACUCCGUGCCAGCAGCCGCGGUAAUACGGAGGAUGCGAGCGUUAUCCGGAUUUAUUGGGUUUAAAGGGUGCGUAGGCGGAAUGCCAAGUCAGCGGUAAAAUCGCGGGGCUCAACCUCGCUCCGCCGUUGAAACUGGCGGUCUUGAGUGGGCGAGAAGUAUGCGGAAUGCGUGGUGUAGCGGUGAAAUGCAUAGAUAGCACGCAGAACGCCGAUUGCGAAGGCAGCAUACCGGCGCCCAACUGACGCUGAAGUACGAAAGCGUGGGUAUCGAACAGGAUUAGAUACCCUUGUAGUC
RNAcentral lists this ribosomal RNA (460 nucleotides) under uncultured bacterium. RNAcentral's name for it is "partial 16S ribosomal RNA". It matches the Rfam family "Bacterial small subunit ribosomal RNA", at positions 338 to 795 of the family's 1533-position model. The record is from RNAcentral.